GAUGAAGAACGUAGCGAAAUGCGAUACGUAAUGUGAAUUGCAGAAUUCAGUGAAUCAUCGAGUCUUUGAACGCACAUUGCGCCCCCUGGUAUUCCGGGGGGCAUGCCUGUCCGAGCGUCAUUGCUGCCCUCAAGCACGGCUUGUGUGUUGGGCCUCCGUCCUCCUCCCGGGGGAUGGGCCCGAAAGGCAGCGGCGGCACCGCGUCCGGUCCUCGAGCGUAUGGGGCUUCGUCACCCGCUCUUGUAGGCCCGGCCGGCGCUUGCCGACACAUCAAUCUUUUUUCCAGGUUGACCUCGGAUCAGGUAGAGAUACCCGCUGAACUUAAUCAUAUCAAUAAGCGCAGGA
This 345-nucleotide unclassified non-coding RNA is filed under the name soil metagenome. RNAcentral describes it as "partial contains 5.8S ribosomal RNA, internal transcribed spacer 2, and large subunit ribosomal RNA". The stretch from base 1 to 120 matches the Rfam family "5.8S ribosomal RNA", at positions 35 to 154 of the family's 154-position model. The record is from RNAcentral.